AACGAACGCUGGCGGCAGGCUUAACACAUGCAAGUCGAACGGGCGUAGCAAUACGUCAGUGGCAGACGGGUGAGUAACACGUGGGAAUAUCCCUUUCAGCUCGGAAUAAUUCAGGGAAACUUGAGCUAAUACCGAAUACGUCCUUCGGGAGAAAGAUUUAUCACUGAGAGAUUAGCCCGCGUCUGAUUAGCUAGUUGGUGAGGUAAUGGCUCACCAAGGCGACGAUCAGUAGCUGGUCUGAGAGGAUGAUCAGCCACACUGGGACUGAGACACGGCCCAGACUCCUACGGGAGGCAGCAGUGGGGAAUAUUGGACAAUGGGGGCAACCCUGAUCCAGUCAUGCCGCGUGAGUGAUGAAGGCCUUAGGGUUGUAAAGCUCUUUUGCUAGGGAAGAUAAUGACUGUACCUAGAGAAUAAGCCCCGGCUAACUUCGUGCCAGCAGCCGCCGUAA
Molecule: ribosomal RNA, 451 nt
Filed under: uncultured bacterium
Lineage: Bacteria
Description: partial 16S ribosomal RNA
Rfam family: Bacterial small subunit ribosomal RNA
Source: RNAcentral